UACAGAGGUCUCAAGCGUUGUUCGGAUUCAUUGGGCGUAAAGGGCGCGUAGGCGGCGGGGUAAGUCGGGUGUGAAAUCUCAGAGCUCAACUCUGAAACUGCACUCGAUACUGCUCUGCUUGAGGACUGGAGAGGAGACUGGAAUUCACGGUGUAGCAGUGAAAUGCGUGGAUAUCGUGAGGAAGACCAGUGGCGAAGGCGGGUCUCUGGACAGUUCCUGACGCUGAGGCGCGAAGGCCAGGGGAGCAAACGGG
Molecule: ribosomal RNA, 253 nt
Filed under: uncultured bacterium
Lineage: Bacteria
Description: partial 16S ribosomal RNA
Rfam family: Bacterial small subunit ribosomal RNA
Source: RNAcentral